GCAGUCGUGCCCGAGUGGUUAAGGAGAUGGACUAGAAGUCCAUUGGGGUCUCCCCGCACGGGUUGGAAUCCUGUCGACUGCG
Molecule: transfer RNA, 82 nt
Filed under: Ixodes scapularis (black-legged tick)
Lineage: Eukaryota; Metazoa; Arthropoda; Arachnida; Ixodida; Ixodidae
Rfam family: tRNA
About the family: Transfer RNA (tRNA) molecules are approximately 80 nucleotides in length. Their secondary structure includes four short double-helical elements and three loops (D, anti-codon, and T loops).
Source: Rfam by way of RNAcentral